UUCCUACGGGAGGCAGCAGUAGGGAAUCUUCCACAAUGGACGAAAGUCUGAUGGAGCAAUGCCGUGUGAGUGAAGAAGGUUUUCGGAUCGUAAAACUCUGUUGUUGAAGAAGAACAUAUGUGAGAGUAACUGUUCACGUACUGACGGUAUUCAACCAGAAAGCCACGGCUAACUACGUGCCAGCAGCCGCGGUAAUA
RNAcentral lists this ribosomal RNA (197 nucleotides) under uncultured Lactobacillus sp. RNAcentral describes it as "partial 16S ribosomal RNA". It matches the Rfam family "Bacterial small subunit ribosomal RNA", at positions 336 to 525 of the family's 1533-position model. Lineage: Bacteria; Bacillati; Bacillota; Bacilli; Lactobacillales; Lactobacillaceae. The record is from RNAcentral.